Prinia subflava (tawny-flanked prinia) is the source of this 1331-nucleotide long non-coding RNA. RefSeq lists it as uncharacterized. The transcript is spliced from 2 exons. The record is from RefSeq and is a predicted model, not a curated record. Lineage: Eukaryota; Metazoa; Chordata; Aves; Passeriformes; Cisticolidae.
GGAUAUUUUCUUCCAUUUUUCUGAAAAUGUUACUUACCUUUUCACUGAAACCCUUGAAUACUCAUUCUGCUUCAUGCAAUACUUGGAUUUUGUGGGGCAUGGGCGAAUGUAUGCCUUUGAGCCUAGACAGGGAUAGGCCCUCCAAUGCCCCUCAUCGGGACCAUGGCCCCUGGAUAUUUCAAGGGGAAUGGGCUUGUUUCCAUCACACAAGGUGUUCUGAGUGGUGUUGCUGCUGCUGAGGGAUCCCGCAUGCCUGUGCAAGUGUAUGAAUUAAAGCAGGACUUUUACCAUGAGGGAACAUGAUGUGUACAGAUGCUUUGUGUAACUGAAUUUCUUAGAGACCGUGGGCAUAAUGUGCUGUGGAGUGAGAUGUGAGCUAUCCCAAACUAGGCCUCAGACUAGGCCUUAGACCUGGGCCUGCUAGGCCUCAAACGUUUGUCCUACGUAAAAAUAGAUAAGCUUGUUUUGCACUGGGAACUGUUAAGGUAUGGGUGUUAAUAACAUAGAACAGUUACUGAGAGAAUACCGUAGCCGCCUUAAGUUGUGAAUGUUUACAUAGUUGUUCACACUCCUCUGCCAAUAGAAAAACACCUGUCACUGUAAACUAUUUUUCUGUAUUUAACCAGCCAUCUCAGGAAUAAAGAGGAGAAACGUAUGCUAUGAUCAUAGUGGUCUGACCUGCGUUUGCUCGGUCUCCGAUACCAUUUACAGUCCCUGCUUCAUCCUGGUGCCCUCUGAACAGGGACUUGUUUGUUGUUUUUUCCUUGAAUGGUGAUACCUUGAAUGGUGAUUCCUUGAAUGGUGAUUCCUUGAAUGGAGAGGUUUUGCUUUUUCAUUUUUUCCUUGAAUGGAGUGUUUUUGCACUUAAAUGUGGCGUGAAGACCUUGCUGUUCUGGAAGUUAGUUUGUGUGUCUGGAUUUAAAUCGGACGGGAUAAACAGACUUUCCUUAAAUUACAAGGCUGGUAUCGGAGAGCGUUUGUUGCCUGAUUUCACCUGAAGGAUUGCAGCGCCACGCUGUGGGGAAGGAAGGAGAAGCAGGACCAGUUUGGGUGCCGAGCCGAUUUACCAGUGCGUGUCCGCAAUCAGAGAUACCAACUAGCAGUAAUAACCACAGUGACAGCAGUGACUUGUCUGAAGCACCUCAAGACGAACCAGAGACUGUUGAAAAUUAAUCGCUAUAGCAAAAAUAAACAAUCGUACUAUUACAGUUAUAUAAUUAGAGUUGUGAUAAGCUAUUGUUAAGGUUUAAGUUUAAGUAAUAGAUGAGUGUUAUUUAUCUAGUUUUUAUAAGAGACAACUAAAACAAUGAGCAGAAUGUUAGGUGUCAGAA